GGCUGGUCCUAAGGUAGUGAGUUAUCUCACUUGAUUGUUCAGUCAGUUACAGAUUGAACUCCUUGUUCUACUACUUUCCGCCCUCCUCACUACUGCACUUGACUAGUCUUAA
This 112-nucleotide Y RNA is filed under the name Prolemur simus (greater bamboo lemur). RNAcentral's name for it is "Y RNA (ENSPSMG00000016827.1)". It matches the Rfam family "Y RNA". Rfam says of the family: Y RNAs are components of the Ro ribonucleoprotein particle (Ro RNP), in association with Ro60 and La proteins. The Y RNAs and Ro60 and La proteins are well conserved, but the function of the Ro RNP is not known. The record is from Rfam by way of RNAcentral. Lineage: Eukaryota; Metazoa; Chordata; Mammalia; Primates; Lemuridae.